Molecule: ribosomal RNA, 254 nt
Filed under: uncultured bacterium
Lineage: Bacteria
Description: partial 16S ribosomal RNA
Rfam family: Bacterial small subunit ribosomal RNA
Source: RNAcentral
UACGUAGGGUGCAAGCGUUAUCCGGAAUUAUUGGGCGUAAAGAGCUCGUAGGCGGUUUGUCGCGUCUGCUGUGAAAACUGGAGGCUCAACCUCCAGCCUGCAGUGGGUACGGGCAGACUAGAGUGUGGUAGGGGGAGACUGGAAUUCCUGGUGUAGCGGUGGAAUGCGCAGAUAUCAGGAGGAACACCGAUGGCGAAGGCAGGUCUCUGGGCCACUACUGACGCUGAGAAGCGAAAGCAUGGGGAGCGAACAGG